UCAGCCUCCCGAGUGCUGGGAUAACAG
RNAcentral lists this non-coding RNA (27 nucleotides) under Cricetulus griseus (Chinese hamster). The record is from RNAcentral. Lineage: Eukaryota; Metazoa; Chordata; Mammalia; Rodentia; Cricetidae.